This 5315-nucleotide long non-coding RNA is filed under the name Zea mays. RNAcentral describes it as "long non-coding RNA (ZMAY_LNC004652)". Lineage: Eukaryota; Viridiplantae; Streptophyta; Magnoliopsida; Poales; Poaceae. The record is from RNAcentral.
UUACAUUUAUAACUUCGGCUUGACAGAAGGUGAGAAUUCGAGUGUGACGUGCGAGUAAAUGCAAGUCAGCGUGAACAAUACAUGGGUACUGUUCAUCUAUUUAUAGGCACAGGACGCAGCCUGUGAGAAAUUAUAUACAUGCCCUUUACAAAUGCUUACAAUCAUAAUACAAGCUAUCACGGGUCGAUUGGUCAUUUCAUCUUUAAGUCAGUUCACUCCUUCGUCUUGAGACAUGCCACUAUGCCGAAGCUUUAUGGGUGAAAGCUUCGGCACUACUUUUGAGAGGAUCUGCCGAAGGUGUUUCUUCCUACAGGAUCUUCGGCGAUGAAGCAUAUCCCCAACAACCGUUCGUCGUUAAAUCCUCAAUACAUAUGUUCUAUCCACACUUCGACCCGCAACCGCGAGUAGCUGGUUCAUCGCUCGCCAGGCUUGGCUUCCUGGCACUUGUGAUCGCUGCCCUGCUGAAGCAAGGAAGAAGACGAACCCAGGGCCCUUGAUCUCGCAAUGAAUGGUUAGGAUUAGAGGGAAUGGUGUAGAAGCCAGGGCUGUAGGAUUUUAAACGGAUGGCGUAGAUCAAAUUUUGUGUACCCCUUCACCCCGCGGAAUUCGGGCGGUUGGAUCAUAAUCGUGUGGUUCAGAUCUGGGCUGGAUUCCAUUAAAUGCGGACCGUUAGAUCCUGAUCUGAGGCCCUAUAUUCCAUACCCUUUUCGAAGAAAUCAAAUCUAAUUUGCAUCAUCAGUUGGGGAUCGAACGGCCAGAUCUGGCCGAUACCCCUUCGGUCGAUAAACUUACAUAAGAGACCGUGGAAACCCCAGUAAUAAACCCGCCAUCCAACUCAGGGUUAAACUGAGUCUAGGAAAUUUUUGUAGGUUAGCCCCCAACCUCUCUGGAUUUAUGCGCCUAGUCCAGAGCUCAGGGAAAUUAGAUAAUUAAAUUUAGAAAGUGAUUUUCACUACACAAAUAAUUCUAGAAACUUGUGAAAUUCGUAUUUAAUUUAUUUUAGCUCCAAAUUGAUCCAAUCCAGUGGCAUUAAUUUUGUAAUAAUAUUGUCUAUCAACUAGUAGCUCUGUUUAGUCAUGCAACUUGAAUUAAAAUUAUUCACUUGAGUUAUUCUAAUCUAGCUACUAAAUAACUUUAGAAAUUCAUAACUAAAUAACUGUAACUCUGAAUUUAGUGAUUCUUGUUCCUACGAUCUCGUUACGACACGUAGAAUAUUAUCGUGCAUUCUAUUCUGUUGUUUGGUGUGAUGUUAUAUUUUUUUAUACCAUGUUUGUUUGUAUUGUUGCGAGUAGACGAGCCAUCCACAGAGGAUCCAGGGGUUCAUCAGGUAGAGACUGCUGAGCAGGAGCUCGUUAAAGGCAAGUUGUGCCCUUGAUCCUGGCCCCUGGGAUGGUGAUAUCCUGGCCCAAGGCUUAAUAGAAUUAAUAGAGUAUUCAUAUCAACAAGGUGCAUCUUCUUUUUCAGAAGCCUAUAUUGAAAGAACCUCAAAGUUAAGCGUGCUUGGCUUGGAGCAAUUUAGGAUGGAUGACCGACUAGGAAGUUUUCUCGGGUGCGCAUGAGUGAAGACAAAGUGCGCACAAAAGACUCGUGUUGGUCUGUGGGGCCAAUAUAUGAUCCUAGAGAGCUGCCAGGAGUAAGUACCACCGAUCCGAGAUUGGACGGGGUGUUACAAAUAGUAUCAGAGCCAACCCUCGCGGUUUCAUGGGCAUAUGUGGGCUAGGGGUUCGGGUAUAUGGCGCAUGGCGCAUGUGGACCCAGAGUGGUCAUAUAGCAUGGCAUAUGAUGAUACUAGACAUACAGACGUGGCCAAGAGGGGAGGUUCCUGGAUUGGGGUUGACCGACGAGGACGUCGGAUCUUCUAAGGGGAUGGAUUUUGAUAUCCUGGCCCCUGGGAUGGUGAUAUCCUACCCCAAGGCUUAAUAGAAUUAAUAGAGUAUUCAUAUCAACAAGUUGCAUCUUCUUUUUUGGAAGUCUAUCUCGAAAGAACCUCUAAGUUAAGCGUGCUUGGCUUGGAGCAAUUUGGGAUGGGUGACCGACCGGGAAGUUUUCUCGGGUGCGCAUGGGUGAGGACAAAGUGCACACAAAAGACUCGUGUUGGUCUGUGGGGUCAAUAUAUGAUCCUAGAGAGCUGUCAGGAGUAAGUAUCGUCGGUCCGGGAUUGGACGGGGUGUUACAAAACAACACUUUAUGCUGAGCUACGUCUUCACACAAAAGCAUAGACUUUGGUUGUUCUGCCGAAGCAGUUUUAUCUCUUAUGUAUUUAUGUUGCUGGUGAGCUUCGACUUCGUCUAUAUUGUGAAUGGCCAUAAACAUUUUUUAUGCCUAUAUGCAUAUGCAGAUGCAAUUGUGGAUAUUACUCCACAACUCAUGAUCAAUCAAAGAACCAAAUCAAACAGUUAUCAUAGGAACAAACAUUCAAGCGUAUAGAUACUUACAAAAAUAGUUUUGUUUUUGUUCCUAAGAUUAGGUCUCCUUUUCCUAAAGGUCACUUUAGGUAAAGGAUUUCAAAGUGUGAAAUCCACCUUUGUCAUUGGAAGAGAAAAGGUAACAAUAAUCAGAGUAAAGCAACAAUAGAUGAGAAAAGAUUAAGAUAAGUUUAUAAAGAAUCUGAGUAGCAAAGGUAAGUAGGUAAGGGUUGUCCGUUCUAUAUAGGUUUUGUCCUAGAGUCAACAUUCGUCUGAUACCACUUCUGUCACACCAGGAUUUAGGGGGCCAAACCCUGGCGCGGUUCACAUGUGUGCUAGGAUCAAGUCUCACACAUAUGAUGACUCAUGGUACAGAAACGAAUGUCACAACUUUAAUAUAUAAUAGAGUUCUAUACAAAAUAGUUAAAUAAUUACAUCAUAUGAAGACAACGAUCUAGCAACUAAAGUUGACUUGGAGACGACGGCCUAGACCACUCACGAACUCAUCACAACAUCCUUCACACGCCUCAUCCUGUGGUACCUGUACUUGACCUAGGGAAUGUGAGUACAACAAGGGUGAGCUCACAUACGUUCAUCACGCAACAAGUUGUGGGGAAUAAUGUGCAUGAGCUCACUUACGGUGGGCCUCAUGUGAAGUGUAAGGCUUACCAAAGGAGAUGGUUAAAGCUGAGCAUUGCUUUUAGAGUUGGUCAAAAUUUUGUUAGCAGUUAAUUACUAAGUAUAAGUAGAUACCAACCCAAUUAAAUAAGAGAUCACAAUUGAUAAUAACACCCACAAUGCAAUGCAUAUGACAGAUUAAGUUUAAUUCCAUAAUUUAAUCAUGCGAGAGUCCUAAGUCGCUCUUGACCAUGAGCACGGCUGAUAUACCAGUUUUACACUCUGCAGAGGUUGCACCCUUUACCCACAAGUCGUGUAUCUCGUCUACCCAGGGUUUGCAAGGCCCUUAGACACUUCUGAGGUGAAUGGAUAGGGAUCCACUACGAGGCCUUUACAAAGCUCCACUAGCUUUGAAAACCCGCUAUGGUUUCUGAGAAGGGCAAUAUAGGAAUCCCUCGUCCAAAAGUCAUCGCAGCAUGAUCAACCCGAGAACCUCCCUAUACACAGCUCCUCUACCGCCCUUGCCUCUUUCGGGUAAGGUAGUCCUCCACUAGCUUUUCUAAUUAGUCAGCCAAGGGCGUCCCAUGCCACCCUUGUGAUAGCACAGAUAUCUCAAGUUAAGCUCCAUGUUCCAAUUAACACAAUGAUCUUGCCAUGAACAAUAAUUAAAACAACAGCAUAACUGGAACAUGAUCAAAAUAUAACAUUAAUUUCACAAAACCAGGUAGAGUAAUAGCAAAACUACCCAAUAGUUCUUUUGUCUGCAAGGUGUGGGAUAAACAAUGCUAGGGAAGCCUAUUAGGUACCAUCAAAUUAAUCUAAGCAUGUCACAGUGAUUAACAGGAACAUUAAUGGGUAAAGAGAAAAGUGAUCAAGGUCACAACUUGCCUUACACUUGAGAUCCUAGGUACCAAGUUGGUCUUCAGAUUCUCGUGACCUCACCGUUAUUCGUAGCAAUACAUACAAUCAAGCAAGUAAUGGAUAUAAUUACAUUACACCAAAGCAUAUGAACAAACAACAUAAGAGUAUCCUACGCGCUGCUACAAGAUCAUAGGCUCGAGAACCACUAAAUUCGGAGUUACUGUUAAAGAGUUAUGAUUUUCUGAGGAUUUAAGUGUUAGAUCUAAAACAAAUUAAGUACAUAAUUUUAACCAUGUUUUCAUACUAAAAUAAGGUUACUAGAUGAUAAACAAUAUUAACAUGAAUUUAUUGCAACUGGAAUGGAUUAAAAACGAGUUAAACUAAAAUACUUAUGAAUUAAACAAGGUUCUGGAAUUAUUUUUAUGCUAGAAAUAUUUUUCUUUAUUAAUUUUACUCAUUUUAUUUAAUCCUUGUACUGCGACCACUAUUUCAGAAGAGUUUAGGGUUUAUUUUGUAAAUUCAAGGACUCCUUUGUAACACUCUUGCAAAAGGGAUGGGCGGCGGGUUAGUUUGUCAGAAGGGCAGGGUCUCCAUAGGAAAAUUGUUCGGCGAAGGAGUACGAUAGAUUCUGAGUCGUUGGAUUCAUGAUCUAUGGUUACGGUUAAUAUCGCGAAUGAUAUGCUUCCUAGGCCACAGGAUCAGCGAUCAAUGACCCCGGAUUAGUCCUGCACCCUUAAGUUGAAUUCAACUCCCAACCGCACGAUCCCGAUCAGACGAUCGUGAUUUUAUUAAGUCCAGAUUUCAUCACAGUCAUCCAUCGUCGAAUCAGCGAUUCCCAUGCAAUCCCCUGGACCAGGCACCCAUCAUCUAAUUCUGGGCGCCAGAUGAAGAUCCAACGGCCAGGGUUGUUUCUUCUUCCCUGAUACCGGACCACGGUGGCGCAGGCACUAGGCGGCGGUGCCAUUGCCAUCGCACACCCCCCAGCAACAAAGAGCCCAAACCUUACCGUAAAACACAGCUACGCGAGGUGGAGACCAUGCAUAGACGGGUUGUGGGGUCUUACCUGUGAAUCGAGAGUCGCAUGGCCCAUGUCCACGACGAUCCGCUGACCGCCACGAAACUCCACAUCAGCGUGAGAUUACCGGCCUUCCAUUCGCACGGUUAGUCCACGAGAACAUUGCCUGGUCCCAAGUCGGCCCUCGCGUUCUCUAGUGGUACCCGUGGACACCCAGCACGACGAAGCCCGAGCGAUGGCGGUCAUCUUUUCACACCCGCAUCUCCCGCAGCAACGGUGACCAUAUAUACUGCUAUGGAGCCCGCGGAUCGGGGCCAGCUUCAGCAAUAUGCAACGACUUCAAGGAAUCACGGAGUUUGUUGCAGCGCGCAAACAAGGCCAGGCAGGGCUCCCCAUGAAUCACGGUGGAGUUUGUU